Molecule: ribosomal RNA, 406 nt
Filed under: uncultured bacterium
Lineage: Bacteria
Description: partial 16S ribosomal RNA
Rfam family: Bacterial small subunit ribosomal RNA
Source: RNAcentral
GAUGAACGCUAGCUACAGGCUUAACACAUGCAAGUCGAGGGACCGGCGCACGGGUGAGUAACACGUAUCCAACCUGCCCUUUACUCGGGGAUAGCCUUUCGACAGAAAGAUUAAUACCCGAUAUAAAGGAUGGGGAUGCGUUCCAUUAGGUUGUGGGGGAGGUAACGGCCCACCAAGCCUUCGAUGGAUAGGGGUUCUGAGAGGAAGGGCCCCCACAUUGGAACGGAGACACUGUCCAAACUCCGACGGGAGGUAGCAGUGAGGAAGAUUGGGAAAUGGGCGUUAGCCUGAACCAGCCAAGUAGCGUGAAGGAUGAAGGCUUAUGGGUCGUAAACUUCUUUUAUAUAAGAAUAUGUAUGAUAUGAAUAAGGAUCGGCUAACUCCGUGCCAGCAGCCGCGGUAAUUC